Molecule: ribosomal RNA, 164 nt
Filed under: Oenothera neomexicana
Lineage: Eukaryota; Viridiplantae; Streptophyta; Magnoliopsida; Myrtales; Onagraceae
Description: 5.8S ribosomal RNA
Rfam family: 5.8S ribosomal RNA
About the family: 5.8S ribosomal RNA (5.8S rRNA) is a component of the large subunit of the eukaryotic ribosome. It is transcribed by RNA polymerase I as part of the 45S precursor that also contains 18S and 28S rRNA.
Source: RNAcentral
AAAACGACUCUCGGCAACGGAUAUCUCGGCUCUCGCAUCGAUGAAGAACGUAGCGAAAUGCGAUACUUGGUGUGAAUUGCAGAAUCCCGUGAACCAUCGAGUCUUUGAACGCAAGUUGCGCCCUAAGCCAUUUGGCCGAGGGCACGUCUGCCUGGGCGUCAWUC